Molecule: long non-coding RNA, 518 nt
Filed under: Gallus gallus (chicken)
Lineage: Eukaryota; Metazoa; Chordata; Aves; Galliformes; Phasianidae
Description: long non-coding RNA NONGGAT004565
Source: RNAcentral
UAACAGAAACAGAGAAACGCAGAGGCUUCCCCCGCGAUGGCAGGGACGGCGGUCACGCACUGCUCCACGCGACGCCGCGCACCUCACCGAGCCCCGGAGGCACGGGCACCGAAAGCGCAGCAAGCAGUCUCCAUACGGCCCGGAGCUCAGCGCAGCACCGCAGCACGCGGAGCCCGCAGCCCCCACCGCCCCACGCGAUGCUCACGAAGCCGCUCCCCGCGCGGCUCGGAGGCUUCCCCUCGCCACCGCCUCCCUGGGCGGCACCUCCGCGCCGCGCCCAGCCCACCCCGCUGCUCUGAAGGCGGCCGCGCUCCGGGCGGUGCCGCCGCGGUCUUCGCGCCCCGCAACUGAGGUGAUGGGGCCGCCCCGCAGAGCCGGAUCGGGCGGGGAUGUCCCCUCCCGGGAACGCGGGAUGCGAGCACCGGCGGCGAGGGGGCUCGGCUAUGCUAAUGAGCACCUGCCUCCGCCUCCCGCUCAGUGCUCUGGGAGACCAAAGCAAGCCUUCUGGAUAUGCCGUG